RNAcentral lists this ribosomal RNA (435 nucleotides) under uncultured bacterium. RNAcentral describes it as "bacterial SSU rRNA". It matches the Rfam family "Bacterial small subunit ribosomal RNA", at positions 43 to 524 of the family's 1533-position model. The record is from RNAcentral.
CAGGCCUAACACAUGCAAGUCGAACGAAGGCUUCGGCCUUAGUGGCGCACGGGUGCGUAACGCGUGGGAAUCUGCCCUUGGGUUCGGAAUAACAGCGAGAAAUUGCUGCUAAUACCGGAUGAUGACGUAAGUCCAAAGAUUUAUCGCCCAGGGAUGAGCCCGCGUAGGAUUAGCUAGUUGGUGGGGUAAAGGCCUACCAAGGCGACGAUCCUUAGCUGGUCUGAGAGGAUGAUCAGCCACACUGGGACUGAGACACGGCCCAGACUCCUACGGGAGGCAGCAGUGGGGAAUAUUGGACAAUGGGGGCAACCCUGAUCCAGCCAUGCCGCGUGAGUGAUGAAGGCCCUAGGGUUGUAAAGCUCUUUCACCGGUGAAGAUAAUGACGGUAAGGGGAGAAGAAGCCCCGGCUAACUUCGUGCCAGCAGCCGCGGUAAU